RNAcentral lists this unclassified non-coding RNA (328 nucleotides) under soil metagenome. RNAcentral's name for it is "partial contains 5.8S ribosomal RNA, internal transcribed spacer 2, and large subunit ribosomal RNA". The stretch from base 1 to 120 matches the Rfam family "5.8S ribosomal RNA", at positions 35 to 154 of the family's 154-position model. The record is from RNAcentral.
GAUGAAGAACGGAGCGAAAUGCGAUAAGUAAUGUGAAUUGCAGAAUUCAGUGAAUCAUCGAAUCUUUGAACGCACAUUGCGCCCCUUGGUAUCCCGAGGGGCAUGCCUGUUCGAGCGUCAUUUCACCACUCAAGCCUGGCUUGGUGUUGGGCGACGUCCCCUUUGGGGACGCGCCUCGAAACGCUCGGCGGCGUGGCACCGGCUUUAAGCGUAGCAGAAUCUUUCGCUUUGGAAGUCGGGGCCCCGUCUGCCGGAAGACCUACUCGCAAGGUUGACCUCGGAUCAGUCAGGGAUACCCGCUGAACUUAAGCAUAUCAAUAAGCGGAGG